This 617-nucleotide long non-coding RNA is filed under the name Rattus norvegicus (Norway rat). Its description in RNAcentral is "long non-coding RNA NONRATT015471". Lineage: Eukaryota; Metazoa; Chordata; Mammalia; Rodentia; Muridae. The record is from RNAcentral.
AGUAAGUGUUCUGAGCUGGAGGAGGAGCUGAAGAAUGUCACCAACAACCUCAAAUCUCUUGAGGCUCAGGCGGAGAAGUACUCUCAAAAAGAAGACAAGUAUGAAGAAGAAAUAAAGAUUCUUACUGAUAAACUCAAGGAGGCGGAGACCCGGGCUGAGUUUGCUGAAAGAUCGGUAGCCAAACUGGAAAAGACCAUUGAUGACUUGGAAGAGCGUCUCUACAGCCAACUUGAGCGAAACCGCCUGCUUUCUAAUGAGCUGAAGCUAACGCUGCAUGGUCUUUGUGACUGACGGGCAGGGCUCCCUGAUGCCCAGUAAACCCACACCACUGACCUGGACCCAGCCAAAAGCUGACUGCCUUUUAAAAAGUCACUGUUCGCCCUAAGCAAGUUGCUUUUUAAUGAGGGCAGCUAGACUACUGUUGAUUUCCUGGCAGCCCCCUUCAAGUUGCAAUGGCUAUUUCUAUUCUAGAAGAGAUUGUGGGUGAUGAAGAUGGGGCCUGGGAGGUUUAGUGCGGAACUUGGAAACCGUUAGCUGCAGCCCUCUCACCUGUAUACUGACUGUAGGGUUUGCUCACCUGCAUGGUUAUUUUCUAACAAUAAAAACACUGACUUGAC